Molecule: ribosomal RNA, 421 nt
Filed under: uncultured bacterium
Lineage: Bacteria
Description: partial 16S ribosomal RNA
Rfam family: Bacterial small subunit ribosomal RNA
Source: RNAcentral
UGGGGAAUUUUGGACAAUGGGCGAAAGCCUGAUCCAGCAAUGCCGCGUGUGUGAAGAAGGCCUUCGGGUUGUAAAGCACUUUUGUCCGGAAAGAAAUCCUUGGCUCUAAUACAGUCGGGGGAUGACGGUACCGGAAGAAUAAGCACCGGCUAACUACGUGCCAGCAGCCGCGGUAAUACGUAGGGUGCAAGCGUACGGAAUUACUGGGCGUAAAGCGUGCGCAGGCGGUUUGCUAAGACCGAUGUGAAAUCCCCGGGCUCAACCUGGGAACUGCAUUGGUGACUGGCAGGCUAGAGUAUGGCAGAGGGGGGUAGAAUUCCACGUGUAGCAGUGAAAUGCGUAGAGAUGUGGAGGAAUACCGAUGGCGAAGGCAGCCCCCUGGGCCAAAUACUGACGCUCAUGCACGAAAGCGUGGGGGAGC